Dromaius novaehollandiae (emu) is the source of this 508-nucleotide long non-coding RNA. RefSeq lists it as uncharacterized. Lineage: Eukaryota; Metazoa; Chordata; Aves; Casuariiformes; Dromaiidae. The transcript has 2 exons. The record is from RefSeq and is a predicted model, not a curated record.
GUUCACUGUAUUUCUUGGAACUGCAGCUGCACAAAGCAAGCGUGAGGACAGGGCCUGCCAGCACCCAAACCGCAAGCUCCGCAGCUGCACAGCCCCAGCCGGCAGACAGCGCGCGGUCAGGCAGCUCUCAGCACCCCGGCCGUCAGGAGGAAGCACAGCAGAGAUUCUCACUGCAGAAUGGUGGCACAGCCACAGCGCCGCGCAGAAGUCCAGAGGGGAGAGUCACGUGCCAUGGUCCAGCACCAGGGAAUGACCCACCUGGUAUCUCUACUGGGAAGCCAGAGACACAGAGAGAAGCAGCUUGCCUUUGAAGAAACAAUCUCCUGACUCCUGACCCAUGGCUGUACUCACUAGACACCUGUGGCCUUCUGAACUUGCUGAAGAAUAACCACCUGUGGCAAUAAAAUUAGGGAAAUGAAAGUAGAUCCUGAAUCAAAAGCUUCCAUUUAGUACUGAUUAAAGCAAAAAAAACUGUGUACUGCUUCAGCAUAAAAAAACUGGAGAACCA